GUGAAAUUGAACUCGCUGUGAAGAUGCAGUGUACCCGCGGCAAGACGGAAAGACCCCGUGAACCUUUACUAUAGCUUGACACUGAACAUUGAGCCUUGAUGUGUAGGAUAGGUGGGAGGCUUUGAAGCGUGGACGCCAGUCUGCGUGGAGCCAACCUUGAAAUACCACCCUUUAAUGUUUGAUGUUCUAACGUGGACCCGUAAUCCGGGUUGCGGACAGUGUCUGGUGGGUAGUUUGACUGGGGCGGUCUCCUCCUAAAGAGUAACGGAGGAGCACGAAGGUUGGCUAAUCCUGGUCGGACAUCAGGAGGUUAGUGCAAUGGCAUAAGCCAGCUUGACUGCGAGCGUGACGGCGCGAGCAGGUGCGAAAGCAGGUCAUAGUGAUCCGGUGGUUCUGAAUGGAAGGGCCAUCGCUCAACGGAUAAAAGGUACUCCGGGGAUAACAGGCUGAUACCGCCCAAGAGUUCAUAUCGACGGCGGUGUUUGGCACCUCGAUGUCGGCUCAUCACAUCCUGGGGCUGAAGUAGGUCCCAAGGGUAUGGCUGUUCGCCAUUUAAAGUGGUACGCGAGCUGGGUUUAGAACGUCGUGAGACAGUUCGGUCCCUAUCUGCCGUGGGCGCUGGAGAACUGAGGGGGGCUGCUCCUAGUACGAGAGGACCGGAGUGGACGCAUCACUGGUGUUCGGGUUGUCAUGCCAAUGGCACUGCCCGGUAGCUAAAUGCGGAAGAGAUAAGUGCUGAAAGCAUCUAAGCACGAAACUUGCCCCGAGAUGAGUUCUCCCUGAGACUUUAGGUCUCCUGAAGGAACGUUGAAGACGACGACGUUGAUAGGCCGGGUGUGUAAGCGCAGCGAUGCGUUGAGCUAACCGGUACUAAUGAACCGUGAGGCUUAACCUUACAACGCCGAAG
This 907-nucleotide ribosomal RNA is filed under the name Salmonella enterica subsp. enterica serovar Muenchen. RNAcentral describes it as "partial 23S ribosomal RNA". It matches the Rfam family "Bacterial large subunit ribosomal RNA", at positions 2036 to 2925 of the family's 2925-position model. The record is from RNAcentral. Lineage: Bacteria; Pseudomonadati; Pseudomonadota; Gammaproteobacteria; Enterobacterales; Enterobacteriaceae.